Long non-coding RNA from Mobula hypostoma (lesser devil ray), 1683 nucleotides. RefSeq lists it as uncharacterized. NCBI's taxonomy places the organism in Eukaryota, Metazoa, Chordata, Chondrichthyes, Myliobatiformes, Myliobatidae. The record is from RefSeq and is a predicted model, not a curated record. The transcript is spliced from 4 exons.
GAUUUGUACCGCCCUGUAGCUUCUGUCUGUCAUCUCCUCAGUUUCAUGUAUGAGCCAAAGGUCGUCGUGCUGCAGCUCCAGUUCCUUAGUGCAUUCUCUGAGGUGCUGUAGAUAUGAACAGAGGGUCAGCUCUUCAAACUCCACUGAUAUGACAGAUAUGCUGUUGAAGGAACCAGUUUUCACGGCGUUCCCAAGUGUGUCUGCGCAUUCCAACGUCAAAAAGUCCUUAUAUGCUCCAGGGAAAAGCUGCCCCAGUCUAUCCAGUCAGAACUCAAGCCCUCCAGAACAGGAACUGACACCUAAUUAACUGCUCUGGAACUCUGAGGUAGUAUGGAUAUCCAGAGCACAAAGAUUGCAGUCUACUCUUUAGGAUAAAGGAGACUACUAUACAGUAGAGACAGUUCUUGAAACAGCAGAUCCUGGGCUGCUGACCAUGAAGACCACCAUGAAAUUUCCCUCUGCUUGGUUGGUCCAAGUCAGGUCAUUUGCGAUAUUGAUUACAAAUGAUUUUGAGGAUCAGCUGGAAGGACAGACACACUACCACCUGCAGAAGGCCAGCAGAACACAUCUCCAUCACGCAUGCGUGAACAUGCCGAUUUUUUUUUCCCCACAAAUCACUUUUGGCGAUUCUGUUCGGGGGGUGGGGGUGUUAAUUAUGACCGGAAUAUCGGUGAUAAAUGGCUAAUACUCUCAAUUUUGUUUCUAAAAGGGUUUAUCUAAUGAAUUUAAUAUUAAACACACUGCAUAUCUUCCUCGCUUGAAUAUAGUGAUAAUUCAAUUAUCAGGGGAGGACAGGGGAGCUUGAAGUAAGUGUUGAACGAACUUCCAGUAGAAGUGGUAGAGGCAGGUUCAAUAUUACUAUUUAAAGAAAAAUUGGAUAGGUAUAUGGACAGGAAAGUAAUGGAGGGUUGUGGGCUGAGUGCAGGUCGGUGGGACUAGGUGAGAGUAGCGUUCGGCAUGGACUAGCAGGGCAGAGAUGGCCUGUUUCCGUGCUCUAAUUGUUAUAUGGUUAUAUAAGUCACUUAUAAGUCAAUAGCAUCAUAACAUUUUAAGUAACAUUUGGAUAUUAAACGCACAGCACAUAUUUUCCCCGGAUGAACAUAUAAAAUCAUUGCAACACACCAAUAACGCUGAAUCAGUGGGAGCCUGGUGCUUGUUUCCCUGCAAUGAAACAGUCCUAUCGAGGGGUGAUGGGAGACAGCGAUACUCGAACGGGGUUCCUUGUGUCCAGUCUAUUCCGCAAUUUAGUUUUCGUUGCAUUCAUUGCAGAGAUAUGUUGGAAAUGGAAGCAACAUUUUCAGUGCUUUCGUGGCUAUGUCAGGAUAUUUAGCCUUGACUUUGAUCCAGAAUGCCGGCAGAGAUGUUAUGUCAAACAUACUUUUCAGCCCGUCAUCAUUUGCAAGCUCGAGGAGUUGAUCUCCUUCCCGCGCUGACAUGGAUGACGUGCGGGUAAUGACCUCACGUGCGGUCAAGCUCAACAGUGUGUGACAGGGAAUGAGGAAAGGUGCAGCUGACUCAUAUCGCUAAAUCAUAUUGUUUCCUUGCGGCCCGGUAGCACAUGCUUUGCGGCCCGGUGGUUGGGGAUUGCUGAUCUAUGGGGUUUCUUGUUUCGUGGAUGACUGUGGAGAGUAAGAAUUUCAGGUUGUAUACUGUAUACAUAAUCUGAUCUUAAAUUAAACCAUU